This 1316-nucleotide long non-coding RNA is filed under the name Macaca fascicularis (crab-eating macaque). RNAcentral describes it as "lncRNA (ENSMFAG00000055942.1)". The record is from RNAcentral. Lineage: Eukaryota; Metazoa; Chordata; Mammalia; Primates; Cercopithecidae.
UUUUUUUUUUUUUUUUUUUUUUUUUUGAGAUGGAGUCUCCCUGUGUUGCCCAGGCUAGAGUGCAGUGGCGCCAUCUCAGCUCACUGCAACCUCUGCCUCCUGGGUUCAAGCAAUCCUCCUGCCUCAGCCUCUCGUGAACCUGAGAUUACAGGCGUAUGCUACCACACCCGGCUAAUUUUUUGUAUUUUUAGUAGAGACAGGGGUUUCACCACGUUGGUUAGGCUGGUCUCAAACUCCUGACCUCAGGUGAUCUGCCCGCCUUGGCCUCCCAAAGUGCUGGGAUUACAGGUGUGAGCCACCAUGCCCAGCCUAUCUUCCAUAUUUUCAAUGAAGCAUUUAGCACAGCUGCUUGCACACAGUAAGCACUCAAUGUCAGCUGCCAGUAAGAUGAUUACAUUUUCAACAGCUUUCUUGAGGUAUAUUUUAUGUAUUAUGAUUAUAUUUUGACUGUUAGGAAAAUCUUUCUGACACUGAGUUAAAAUCCCCCUCAGACCAUGCCCUUCCUCCGUGGGUUCCAAUUCUAUCCCCAGAAUCUCCUUAGAGCCUAUCUUCUCCCUUGCCUUGUUACAGUCUCUUAGGGAUUUGCAGUUACAGGCCAAACCUGUCUGGUGGGGCUUAGUCUGGCUUCCUCCUGUCUCUUGGUGACUCAGCCAUUGGUUGAUGGAUUGACAAGUCUCUGACAAGUCCCAGGAGCACUGCAGGUCGGGGGCUGCUGCCUUCUACCACAGAUCACAACAGCUACAUAAAUAAACUACAUAAUUUGCAAGGUCCAGUGCAAAGUGAAAAUGCCCAGCCCCUUGUUCAACAUUGUUAAGAAUUUCAAGACAGUGAUAGUAGAGGCUUAAACCAGGCAUGGGCCCUUACAAAUGCACAGGACUCACAUCCAUGAAUCAGCCCUAGCGGCAUCCUGUAUCUUCAGUUCUUCAUCACCUCAUCCCACCACCAUCCCAUCCCAUCAUGUGCUCAUGUGGAGGCUGAGCCUGGGAAGUUCCUAGUACACCAGAAAAACACAGAAAGCAUUUAGCACCAAGAGAGUUACAACUCACUUGUGCCCUCAAGUCCAUCAGUUCACUUUAAGUCUGCCUUGAACUUCACUGGCUAUAAGAUUCAGGCUGCCUACCAUCUCUCAGGCCCCCUUUGUCAGAGGCAGCCCUCUAAGUUUGGUGGAUUAGUGGUACAAACAGGAGACUAAGAGUUGGGACUUUCCAUUGCCUUCCUGAGGACACUCUAGUGUGUCUCUUAGAAACACAAGAUUUGAUGCUUUCAAAUCUUGAUACGGAGUUUCACUCUUGUCUCCCAGGCUGGAGUGCAAUGGC